RNAcentral lists this ribosomal RNA (698 nucleotides) under uncultured Nitrosomonadaceae bacterium. RNAcentral describes it as "bacterial SSU rRNA". It matches the Rfam family "Bacterial small subunit ribosomal RNA", at positions 98 to 788 of the family's 1533-position model. The record is from RNAcentral. Lineage: Bacteria; Pseudomonadati; Pseudomonadota; Betaproteobacteria; Nitrosomonadales; Nitrosomonadaceae.
GCGCACGGGUGAGUAAUGCAUCGGAACGUGUCCGGUAGAGGGGGAUAACCAGUCGAAAGACUGGCUAAUACCGCAUACGCUGGAGACAGGAAAGCGGGGGACCUGGAAACGGGCCUUGCGCUAUCGGAGCGGCCGAUGCCCGAUUAGCUGGUUGGUGAGGUAAGAGCUCACCAAGGCGACGAUCGGUAGCUGGUCUGAGAGGAUGAUCAGCCACACUGGGACUGAGACACGGCCCAGACUCCUACGGGAGGCAGCAGUGGGGAAUUUUGGACAAUGGGGGCAACCCUGAUCCAGCCAUGCCGCGUGAGGGAAGAAGGCCUUCGGGUUGUAAACCUCUUUCGGGCGGGACGAAAUCGUUUGGGCGAAUAACCUGAGCGGAUGACGGUACCGCAAGAAGAAGCACCGGCUAACUACGUGCCAGCAGCCGCGGUAAUACGUAGGGUGCGAGCGUUAAUCGGAAUUACUGGGCGUAAAGCGUGCGCAGGCGGCUUUGCAAGCCAGACGUGAAAGCCCCGGGCUUAACCUGGGAAUGGCGUUUGGGACUGCGAGGCAGGAGUGCGGCAGAGGGAACUGGAAUUCCUGGUGUAGCAGUGAAAUGCGUAGAUAUCAGGAGGAACACCGAUGGCGAAGGCAGGUUCCUGGGCCGACACUGACGCUCAUGCACGAAAGCGUGGGGAGCAAACAGGAUUAGAUACCCU